AUGAAUCUACACUCGGUCUUCUGUGCUGGUGGAAACACAUGUGCACGUCGAUCGUGAUUCUAUCCUCCUCUCCAACCGUCCAUGUGUGUGUUUGGUCGACCUCUGGUCGAAGAGUUGUGGCUUUCGGGCUCGAUUCGUUCCAGAUGCACCUUGGUUAUUUCACCCACUCUGGGUAUUAGAAACAAAGAACAUUAUAUAUAAACUAUA
This 207-nucleotide unclassified non-coding RNA is filed under the name uncultured Sebacinaceae. RNAcentral describes it as "sequence contains ITS1". The record is from RNAcentral. Lineage: Eukaryota; Fungi; Basidiomycota; Agaricomycetes; Sebacinales; Sebacinaceae.